Molecule: ribosomal RNA, 425 nt
Filed under: uncultured Actinomycetes bacterium
Lineage: Bacteria; Bacillati; Actinomycetota; Actinomycetes
Description: bacterial SSU rRNA
Rfam family: Bacterial small subunit ribosomal RNA
Source: RNAcentral
GCGGCCUAUCAGCUUGUUGGUGAGGUAAAGGCUCACCAAGGCUACGACGGGUAUCCGGCCUGAGAGGGCGACCGGACACACUGGGACUGAGACACGGCCCAGACUCCUACGGGAGGCAGCAGUGGGAAUAUUGGGCAAUGGACGAAAGUCUGACCCAGCGACGCCGCGUGAGGGAUGAAGGCCUUCGGGUUGUAAACCUCUUUCAGUAGGGAAGAAGCGAAAGUGACGGUACCUAAAGAAGAAGCACCGGCUAACUAUGUGCCAGCAGCCGCGGUAAUACAUAGGGUGCAAGCGUUGUCCGGAAUUAUUGGGCGUAAAGAGCUCGUAGGUGGUUUGUUGCGUCGGGUGUGAAAUUCAGGGGCUCAACCCCUGACCUGCACUCGAUACGGGCAAGCUAGAGUUUGGUAGGGGAGACUGGAAUUCCU